This 758-nucleotide unclassified non-coding RNA is filed under the name Burkholderia sp. JNR107. RNAcentral describes it as "partial 16S-23S ribosomal RNA intergenic spacer; may also contain 16S ribosomal RNA and 23S ribosomal RNA". The stretch from base 636 to 758 matches the Rfam family "Bacterial large subunit ribosomal RNA", at positions 1 to 122 of the family's 2925-position model. The record is from RNAcentral. Lineage: Bacteria; Pseudomonadati; Pseudomonadota; Betaproteobacteria; Burkholderiales; Burkholderiaceae.
CCCCUCCUUUCUCGAGCUAACGUGUCAAUGCGUUGAGCGCUCACGCUUAUCGGCUGUGAAUUAGGACAGUAAGUCAGACAGACUGAGGGGUCUGUAGCUCAGUCGGUUAGAGCACCGUCUUGAUAAGGCGGGGGUCGAUGGUUCGAAUCCAUCCAGACCCACCAUUGUCUUGUCUGCGAUGGCUGCGCUAAUCGAUGAACCCUGAAGUGUGAUGAUGCUAUCUGUGCAUGACUGGGGGAUUAGCUCAGCUGGGAGAGCACCUGCUUUGCAAGCAGGGGGUCGUCGGUUCGAUCCCGUCAUCCUCCACCAAUCUUCAAUGCGCAGCGUUCUGCUGAAGUAGCAAGCAGAGUGUUUUGCAUUGGCGAUUGAGCCAGUCAGAGUGAUACGCGGUUAUAGCAACUGCGAUAUCGGCUGUCGUUCUUUAACAAUCAGGAAGAAGUAGUAAAGAGAUUCACGAAAGCAUACUUAGAGAUGGGUGUGUGAGUAGGUGAAUCAGGGUUGUGAUUGUAUCAAUGUAUUUUUUAAGUGAUCGAAAGAUCGCUUUGGAAUACGGCGCAACACGAAUACUCAACCUGUAGCGAUUGUGGCGAAGGUGGCAUUCCCAGUGAAUGACACAUGAGACACACCCGUUAUAGGGUCAAGCGAACAAGUGCAUGUGGUGGAUGCCUUGGCGAUCACAGGCGAUGAAGGACGCGGUAGCCUGCGAAAAGCGACGGGGAGCUGGCAAACGAGCUUUGAUCCGUCGAUGUCCGAAUGGG